Molecule: ribosomal RNA, 241 nt
Filed under: uncultured bacterium
Lineage: Bacteria
Description: partial 16S ribosomal RNA
Rfam family: Bacterial small subunit ribosomal RNA
Source: RNAcentral
GCGGUGAAAUGCGUAGAUAUCAAGAGGAACACCUGCGGCGAAGGCGGGUUGCUGGGCCGACACUGACGCUGAGGCGCGAAAGCCAGGGGAGCGAACGGGAUUAGAUACCCCGGUAGUCCUGGCCUUAAACGAUGAAUGCUUGGUGUCUGGGGUUAUAUAGUCCCCGGGUGCCGUCGCUAACGCUUUAAGCAUUCCGCCUGGGGAGUACGGCCGCAAGGCUAAAACUCAAAGGAAUUGACGG